This is a long non-coding RNA of Oncorhynchus tshawytscha (Chinook salmon), 1776 nucleotides long. Lineage: Eukaryota; Metazoa; Chordata; Actinopteri; Salmoniformes; Salmonidae. The record is from Ensembl.
ACACACAGGAAAGGUCGCUGGUUCAAAUCCCCCCGCCGACUAAAGUGAAAAUCUGACAAUGUGCCCUUGAGCAAGGCAACUAACCACACUGGCUCCUGUAAGUUGCUCUGGAUAAGAGCGUCUGCUAAAUGACUCCAAUUUCAAAGUGUAAAUUCACUUCCUGUAGUAGAGCCGGAAUGACUGCCUCAUGAAUAUUCAGAGACGGACUGUUGAAUGACUGCCUCAUGAAUAUUCAGAGACAGACUGUUGAAUGACUGCCUCAUGAAUAUUCAGAGACAGACUGUUGAAUGACUGCCUCAUGAAUAUUCAGAGACAGACUGUUGAAUGACUGCCUCAUGAAUAUUCAGAGACAGACUGUUGAAUGACUGCCUCAUGAAUAUUCAGAGACGGACUGUUGAAUGACUGCCUCAUGAAUAUUCAGAGACAGACUGUUGAAUGACUGCCUCAUGAAUAUUCAGAGACGGACUGGUACACUCCAAGACAAAAGCUUUUUAAAUGCUGUAAAUGUUUUACUCGUAACCUACAAGAUGAACUGAUUUUAACUUUCACCUGCUCUGACGUUCGUGUCUGAGAAGCACAUUAUUUUCUGCUCUGAUAGGAUAGUCUGAUAGGUUAGUUUAAUACACUGCUCUGAUAGGUUAGUUUAAUACACUGCUCUGAUAGGUUAGUUUAAUACACUGCUCUGAUAGGAUAGUCUGAUAGGUUAGUUUAAUACACUGCUCUGAUAGGUUAGUUUAAUACUCUGCUCUGAUAGUCUGAUAGGGUAGUUUAAUACACUGCUCUGAUAGGAUAGUUUUAUACACUGCUCUGAUAGGUUAGUUUUAUACACUGCUCUGAUAGGAUAGUCUGAUAGGUUAGUUUAAUACACUGCUCUGAUAGGAUAGUUUAAUACACUGCUCUGAUAGGAUAGUUUUAUACACUGCUCUGAUAGGGUAGUUUAAUACACUGCUCUGAUAGGGUAGUUUUAUACACUGCUCUGAUAGGGUAGUUUAAUACACUGCUCUGAUAGGGUAGUUUAAUACACUGCUCUGAUAGGAUAGUUUUAUACACUGCUCUGAUAGGGUAGUUUUAUACACUGCUCUGAUAGGAUAGUCUGAUAGGUUAGUUUAAUACACUGCUCUGAUAGGAUAGUCUGAUAGGGUAGUUUAAUACACUGCUCUGAUAGGGUAGUUUAAUACACUGCUCUGAUAGGGUAGUUUAAUACACUGCUCUGAUAGGGUAGUUUAAUACACUGCUCUGAUAGGAUAGUUUUAUACACUGCUCUGAUAGGAUAGUUUAAUACACUGCUCUGAUAGGUUAGUUUAAUACACUGCUCUGAAGACUGUUGAUGCCAUUGGAGAUCCACAAACUGACUGUGGAAUGUUUUGGUUCCUGAUGGUCAAAUCUGAAGCCCUAUUCUCUAUAGUAGGGGUCAAAUCUGAAGCCCUAUUCUCUAUGUAGUGCACUAAGGGGAUAGUAGGGGUCAAAUCUGAAGCCCUAUUCUCUAUGUAGUGCACUAAAGGGAUAGUAGGGGUCAAAUCUGAAGCCCUAUUCUCUAUGUAGUGCACUAAGGGGAUAGUAGGGGUCUGCACUAUGAAGGGAAUAGGGGGGAUAAUUUGAAGAUGAAGCCUUUUUGUCACUGAUACGGUUGUGGUUUUAUACAGUACCAAUGUAAAAGCACAUUGACGAUCUAUAUUCCUUUAAUUAUGAAUGAGAUGAUGCUUUAUGGAUUCAUCCCAGACUGCUCUCUGUUUUCUACACAGAUGCAGACCUUUGAGGGAAAACUUUUAUACUUUG